AGUUUGUAGUCCUCGGCGUCAGGAGUGAACGCGUGGCGGCGGUGCCUAACACAUGCGAGGUCGGAACGGGGUCGUUAGUUGUCGGAAGUUUUACGGGUAUGGAAGGAGUUAAGACUUAGUGGCGGACGGGUGGAGUAACGCGUGGGUAACCUGCCCUGUACAGGGGGAUAACAGUUGGAAACGGCUGCUAAAACCGCAUAACAUGGAGAUACCGCAUGAUAUUUCCAUCAAAUAUUUAUAGGUACAGGAUGGGCCCGCGUCUGAUUAGCCGGUUGGCAGGGUAAUGGCCUACCAAAGCGACGAUCAGUAGCCGGCUUGAGAGAGUGACCGGCCACAUUGGGACUGAGACACGGCCCAAACUCCUACGGGAGGCAGCAGUGGGGGAUAUUGCACAAUGGGGGAAACCCUGAUGCAGCGACGCCGCGUGAGUGAAGAAGUAUUUCGGUAUGUAAAGCUCUAUCGGCAGGGAAGAAAAAGCGCGUGAGCGCCCUUGACAGUACCUGACUAAGAAGCCCCGGCUAACUACGUG
RNAcentral lists this ribosomal RNA (529 nucleotides) under uncultured Lachnospiraceae bacterium. RNAcentral's name for it is "bacterial SSU rRNA". It matches the Rfam family "Bacterial small subunit ribosomal RNA", at positions 1 to 507 of the family's 1533-position model. The record is from RNAcentral. Lineage: Bacteria; Bacillati; Bacillota; Clostridia; Lachnospirales; Lachnospiraceae.